This 934-nucleotide ribosomal RNA is filed under the name uncultured Bacteroidota bacterium. Its description in RNAcentral is "bacterial SSU rRNA". It matches the Rfam family "Bacterial small subunit ribosomal RNA", at positions 1 to 917 of the family's 1533-position model. Lineage: Bacteria; Pseudomonadati; Bacteroidota. The record is from RNAcentral.
UGGAUCCACACUUUGAUUAUGGCUCAGGAUGAACGCUAGCGACAGGCUUAACACAUGCAAGUCGAGGGGCAGCGGGGCUGAAAGCUUGCUUUCAGCUGCCGGCGACCGGCGCACGGGUGAGUAACACGUAUGCAACCUGCCUGUGACAGAUGGAUAACCGGGAGAAAUUCCGCCUAAUACAGCAUAAAGCUUUUUGAAGACAUCUUCUUGAAGCCAAAGGAGGCGACUCCGGUCACAGAUGGGCAUGCGGCGCAUUAGGUAGUUGGUGAGGUAACGGCUCACCAAGCCGACGAUGCGUAGGGGUUCUGAGAGGAAGGUCCCCCACAUUGGAACUGAGACACGGUCCAAACUCCUACGGGAGGCAGCAGUGAGGAAUAUUGGUCAAUGGCCGAAAGGCUGAACCAGCCAAGUCGCGUGAGGGAAUAAGGCCCUACGGGUCGUAAACCUCUUUUGCCGGGGAGUAAGAUUCUCUACGUGUAGGGAAUCGGAGAGUACCCGGAGAAAAAGCAUCGGCUAACUCCGUGCCAGCAGCCGCGGUAAUACGGAGGAUGCGAGCGUUAUCCGGAUUUAUUGGGUUUAAAGGGUGCGUAGGCGGAUUCUCAAGUCAGCGGUCAAAACCCGGGGCUCAACCCCGGCCUGCCGUUGAAACUGGGAAUCUUGAGUGAGCGUGAAGUAAGCGGAAUGCGUGGUGCAGCGGUGAAAUGCAUAGAUAUCACGCAGAACCCCGAUUGCGAAGGCGGCUUACCGGCGCUCAACUGACGCUGAGGCACGAAAGUGCGGGGAUCAAACAGGAUUAGAUACCCUGGUAGUCCGCACAGUAAACGAUGAAUGCUAAUUGUUCGGAGGGAAUGACCUCUGAGUGAUACAGUGAAAACGUUAAGCAUUCCACCUGGGGAGUACGCCGGCAACGGUGCAACUCAAAGGAAUUGACGGA